GGUGAGAUGGCUCAGUGGUUAAGAGCACUGGCUGUUCCUCCAGAGGACCUGGGUUCAAUUCCUAGCACCC
This 70-nucleotide transfer RNA is filed under the name Mus musculus (house mouse). It matches the Rfam family "tRNA". From Rfam's summary of the family: Transfer RNA (tRNA) molecules are approximately 80 nucleotides in length. Their secondary structure includes four short double-helical elements and three loops (D, anti-codon, and T loops). Further hydrogen bonds mediate the characteristic L-shaped molecular structure. tRNAs have two regions of fundamental functional importance: the anti-codon, which is responsible for specific mRNA codon recognition, and the 3' end, to which the tRNAs corresponding amino acid is attached (by aminoacyl-tRNA synthetases). tRNAs cope with the degeneracy of the genetic code in two manners: having more than one tRNA (with a specific anti-codon) for a particular amino acid; and 'wobble' base-pairing, i.e. permitting non-standard base-pairing at the 3rd anti-codon position. The record is from Rfam by way of RNAcentral. Lineage: Eukaryota; Metazoa; Chordata; Mammalia; Rodentia; Muridae.